GGUCUAUGUGCAUAUUCAACAAAAGACACAGAUGGAUGAAUGACAAAAUUGUGUUUUGGUGAUGGUGAUGUGUUUGUAGAUCUUACUUUACUGAACAUUCUUGCUACUUACAAUUAUCUUCAUCUUUAAUGAACUUGGCCCAUUAGUUACAGAGGAAAAUAUUUUGUUAAAAAAUUUACAAAAAUUUACAAAAUUUAUGAUAAUUGUUAAAAAUUGACUGUAGAGGGCUGUAACUCCUUAAGGGGUCAACUUACCAUUUUUGUCAUGUUGAUUUAUUUGUAGAUCUUACUUUGCUGAACAUUAUUGCUGUUUACAGUUUAUCUCUAUCUACAAUAAUAUUCAAGAUAAUAAC
RNAcentral lists this long non-coding RNA (352 nucleotides) under Mytilus galloprovincialis (Mediterranean mussel). Lineage: Eukaryota; Metazoa; Mollusca; Bivalvia; Mytilida; Mytilidae. The record is from RNAcentral.